Molecule: long non-coding RNA, 319 nt
Filed under: Salvia miltiorrhiza (redroot sage)
Lineage: Eukaryota; Viridiplantae; Streptophyta; Magnoliopsida; Lamiales; Lamiaceae
Description: long non-coding RNA (SMIL_LNC004471)
Source: RNAcentral
UUUUUUAUUAAUUUUUUAAAAAUUAUAUUAUAUUAUAUUAUAUUAAAAAUAACAAAUAAAUUGUUUAUCCUAAAAUUUGAAUUUAUUCCUAGAUAUAGAUUUUAAAAAAUUAAAAAAUCAUAACAUUUUUUUGUUUUAUCAUUAAGUAACACUUAUAUAAAAUCUAAAUUAGAAAUCUAAAUACCAAAAAUUGAAUAUUAAAAGUGAAAAAAGAGAAAAAAGAAAAAAGAAAAAAAAGGAAUAGAUUUUAUUUAGAAAAUUUAGAAAUUAACCCCAAAACUACAAGCCCUAGUUCGUCCUCCCUCCCUGUCUCCUCCCU